RNAcentral lists this ribosomal RNA (253 nucleotides) under uncultured bacterium. Its description in RNAcentral is "partial 16S ribosomal RNA". It matches the Rfam family "Bacterial small subunit ribosomal RNA", at positions 524 to 776 of the family's 1533-position model. The record is from RNAcentral.
UACAGAGGGUGCAAGCGUUGUUCGGAAUCAUUGGGCGUAAAGCGCACGUAGGCGGCAUUGCAAGUCAGGUGUGAAAGCCUGGGGCUCAACCCCAGAAGUGCACUUGAAACUGCAGUGCUUGAGUCUUGGAGAGGGCAGUGGAAUUCCGAGUGUAGAGGUGAAAUUCGUAGAUAUUCGGAGGAACACCAGUGGCGAAGGCGACUGCCUGGACAAAGACUGACGCUGAGGUGCGAAAGCGUGGGGAGCAAACAGG